AUCCAGCUGACGAGUCCCAAAUGAGACUAGACGUGCGUCAUGGAU
Molecule: non-coding RNA, 45 nt
Filed under: Schistosoma mattheei
Lineage: Eukaryota; Metazoa; Platyhelminthes; Trematoda; Strigeidida; Schistosomatidae
Source: RNAcentral